This 643-nucleotide ribosomal RNA is filed under the name uncultured bacterium. Its description in RNAcentral is "bacterial SSU rRNA". It matches the Rfam family "Bacterial small subunit ribosomal RNA", at positions 232 to 885 of the family's 1533-position model. The record is from RNAcentral.
CGCGGCCUAUCAGCUUGUUGGUGAGGUAACGGCUAACCAAGACGACGACGGGUAGCCGGCCUGAGAGGGUGACCGGCCACACUGGGACUGAGACACGGCCCAGACUCCUACGGGAGGCAGCAGCGGGGAAUAUUGCACAAUGGGCGCAAGCCUGAUGCAGCAACGCCGCGUGAGGGACGACGGCCUUCGGGUUGUAAACCUCUUUUAGCAGGGAAGAAGCGAAAGUGACGGUACCUGCAGAAAAAGCACCGGCUAACUACGUGCCAGCAGCCGCGGUAAUACGUAGGGUGCAAGCGUUGUCCGGAAUUAUUGGGCGUAAAGAGCUCGUAGGCGGUUUGUCGCGUCUGCUGUGAAAACCCGAGGCUCAACCUCGGGCCUGCAGUGGGUACGGGCAGACUAGAGUGCGGUAGGGGAGAUUGGAAUUCCUGGUGUAGCGGUGGAAUGCGCAGAUAUCAGGAGGAACACCGAUGGCGAAGGCAGAUCUCUGGGCCGUAACUGACGCUGAGGAGCGAAAGCGUGGGGAGCGAACAGGAUUAGAUACCCUGGUAGUCCACGCCGUAAACGUUGGGAACUAGAUGUAGGGACCAUUCCACGGUUUCUGUGUCGCAGCUAACGCAUUAAGUUCCCCGCCUGGGGAGUACGG